UACUUGUUGCUUAGUAAAACUGGACCUCUUUCCCCAACUAUAGGUGCAAGACAGGAAAACAUCUGUACUACAGUGGCUAUGUCGCUUCUGCCCUAUAGGGCGAACUGGUUGAUUGAGUUUAUUUUGCCUCUGCCUCUGUCUCUGAGCUCCAUUGCCAUUUGCCACGUAAUCUCCCGAGUGCAGAGCAUAUAUGCAGAGUUCAUAUGCUGAGUUCAUAUGCUAGUCGGAACUAGAAAACGCGGAAAUGUCAGACUUGCUUACUGGUUGUAGUUAUAUACGUGCCGCGUACAUGGUUACCAAGUGGGUAAAUGUCCGAGUUUCCUAGCUCCGACUAGCACGUGAAAGCGGCAAUAGGCAUAGAUAGGUACAAGGGGCGGAUUGCGUAGCAGAGCAACACGAGCCUGUCGGAAUCGGAGGAGAGCAACACGGGCAAAAUCUUAGAGCAUACAAGUUCAAGGGGGGAGAUUAUUUUAGUUUCCCUUGCGAAAACAAAACAUUGAAACGUGGAUAUUGUUAACUAGACGCCCAGGACAGCGCUACAGGGAGACAGGACGGAUAGCUGAUCAUCCUCGCAGUGGCAGACCACGUGUAACAACACCUGCAUAGGAUCGGUACAUCCAAACAUCACACCUGCGGGACAGGUACAGGAUGGCAACAACUGUCCGAGUUACACCAGGAACGCACAAUCCCUCCAUCAGUGUUCAGACUGUCUGCAAUAGGCUGAGAGAGGCUGGACUGAGGGCUUGUAGGCCUGUUGUAAGGCAGGUCCUCACCAGACAUCACCAGCAACAACAUUGCCUAUGGGCACAAACCCACCGCCACUGGACCAGACAGGACUGGCAAAAAGUGCUCUUCACUGACGAGUCGCGGUUUUGUCUCACCAGGGGUGAUGGUCGGAUUCGCAUUUAUCAUUGAGCACGUCUGGGACCUGUUGGAUCGGAGGGUGAGGGCUAGGGCCGUUCCCCACAAAAAUGUCCGGGAACUUGCAGGUGGAAGAGUGGGGAUACAUCUCACAGCAAGAACUGGCAAAUCUGGUGCAGUCCAUGAGGAGGAGAUGCACUGCAGUACUUUAAUACAGCUGGUGGCCACACCAGAUACUGUUACUUUUGAUUUUGACCCCCCCCCUUUGUUCAGGGACACAUUAUUCAAUUUCUGUUAGUCACAUGUCUGUGGAACUUGUUCAGUUUGUCUCAGUUGUUUAAUCUGAUGUUC
RNAcentral lists this long non-coding RNA (1212 nucleotides) under Salmo salar (Atlantic salmon). RNAcentral's name for it is "lncRNA (ENSSSAG00000106849.1)". Lineage: Eukaryota; Metazoa; Chordata; Actinopteri; Salmoniformes; Salmonidae. The record is from RNAcentral.